RNAcentral lists this unclassified non-coding RNA (202 nucleotides) under fungal sp. Its description in RNAcentral is "partial internal transcribed spacer region". The stretch from base 1 to 46 matches the Rfam family "Eukaryotic small subunit ribosomal RNA", at positions 1786 to 1831 of the family's 1831-position model. Lineage: Eukaryota; Fungi. The record is from RNAcentral.
AAGUCGUAACAAGGUUUCCGUAGGUGAACCUGCGGAAGGAUCAUUAACACGUAUCCAAACGUUAAAACCCCCCCCGUGAACAUUGAUUCCUGGUCUUGUAACCCGCGAAGCUUGCAAUCUCUGCCACAGUUAAAUGUGAAGCUCAAUGUAAUACAUUGGGUAAAAAACCGAACAACUGUUAACAAUGGAUAUCUUGGUUCUC